Molecule: unclassified non-coding RNA, 258 nt
Filed under: uncultured fungus
Lineage: Eukaryota; Fungi
Description: partial internal transcribed spacer 1
Source: RNAcentral
UCCACAGUCAGUGCAUGCCAGUAUGACCUGCCAGACUUCGAUGAACGCCUCCCUGUCGGUUCCGGUGGGGAACUGGUAUGCCCUACUGGGAUACAGUACCAGCAGGACAGAAGGUCGGCCGGUUUACCGGGGAUAUGAUGAUAACAGUGACAAAGAAAAUGUGUUCUGGCGACAGGCAUACAUCCCUGCCUCUCACCGCGAAUCUGCUCAGGCUAGUGCAACGUACAGCCUUAAUAUGGCUGGCAUGAAUAUUAAUAC